This 2114-nucleotide long non-coding RNA is filed under the name Marmota monax (woodchuck). The record is from RNAcentral. Lineage: Eukaryota; Metazoa; Chordata; Mammalia; Rodentia; Sciuridae.
CACUGGUACUUUUUAGCAGAAGUAUUACAGUUUAGAACAAAAAGAUGAAAGAAAAAUUUGAUUGGGUUUGAGCUACUGGAUAUAAUGGCUUUUUGUUAGAAAGCAAACUGAUAAUCCAGGCAAGAGAUGAUGAAGUUCUGAACUCAGUUCUGGCAAUGGAAAUCAAAAGGAAGAGACAAGUGAGAGAGGUCUAUAGGUUGAGUCUACAGGUUAUAGCAAACGCUUUAAUAAGAUGAUGAAGCAAUAUAAGUUGGUGAGAUAAAGUUGUCAUUAACUGAAUAAGAAACUCAACAGAAAGGACCUAUUGAUGAAAUGAUGAUUUCUCUUGGGGAUAUGUUAACUACAUAAAGACAUAUCAGAGCUCCUGGGCAUUGCUAUCCACUUCUGGCCCAAGCAAAAAUGACAGAUGAGUUUUCUCUCUCUGACCACAAAACAACAGAUAUAUCAGGCUUUGGGCCAUGUAUUUUGUCCUCACUGUGCUUUCUUAAAGGAUCCAUAUGCUUUGUUCAAGUUCAAAGCCCGGGGUAGUUCUCAUUCUCUUAACAUCUCUUUCCCGUCCUCAUGUACCAAUUUUGAUUCUGUGAUUGAUUCAUUCAAAGAACUUGAAAAAGCUAAAAUGAUCUGUUAAUUUAUUUUCACUCAUCUCUUACACACAUACACAAACACACACGUGAAUUCGUGUGUGUAUGCGUGUGUGUGUGUGUGUGUGUGUGUGUAAAAGAUGGGGAAUUCUAAGAGACACAAACCAUCAACCCAAAAGAACAGGUGAGGGCCACAGAAUAUAGAUACUGCCUUUUGAUUUGAGUUGUAUGAAAGCUCUAAUCCAGAAAGAUUAUGCCACAAGUGACAGGGAAAUCUAAUAUUCCUUUGGAGUUCAGCAAAGAAUCAAGUUUACUAUUUCUCUCAGUGUGUUUCCAUUUUUUUAGUUUGAAGGAGCCACAGCACAUUGCAGUAAUUCUCACUUCAUCUAUGUGUUUUCCCCAUAAGCUGAGGGUCCAUACUGAUGCUGCCAUCCCUCAUGAACAAAUAUGAGUAAUGUCUCUUUAAUAUCUUUAAAUGGUAAGGAAUGAAGGAGCUAAUAAUCUGCAAUUUUCACUUUAUUUGAAAUUUAUCCCAAAACACAUUUACUUAACAUGAUAUAUUUCCCAGAAUAUAUACAAUUUAGUCUCUCAAUGAACUAUUUUACAAGUUACUAAAAGCUCAUGAUUUUUACAAAUAAAAAAUCUAUAAUAAAUAAGAUAAUAUAGCAAUUCAUAUAUUUAGCUAAUAAAGCAGAGCAAGAAAAUAUAAAUAUCAUAGAAAGUGAUUAAGUAGGAGAAAUAAAACUAUACUUCCUGAUAGAAAAUUUAUAUAGCAAUACCAAAAAAUUAAGUGAAGAAUUUAUGUUUGAUAUCCUCCUCUGUAUCUUUUCAAAUGAUGGAUGUGUGAAAAUCAAAGAAAGUCAAAAAAGAAGUCAAACAAAUGGAUACUAAAUUCAGUAAAGCAGACUAUCUUUAAACAUAACUAUGCACGAAUUUUGCUUGAAAAUCCACUUCUGCUGUGAACAGUGCCCAGGCUUAUUUUCUUUUUGUUAAUAGUUUUUUGUUUGUUUGUUUUGAUUUACAACAGGCCCAUAGCACAAACAGCUUUAUCCAGGUAGUAGCAUUUGAUGAGUUGAUCCCUAAGUAAGACCAAUUUUAUUUUUGAAUUCCCAAAACCAAUCUUCCUUUUCCUUUUCUGGUUUGUGAUUCCCCAGCUAUCUAUGUUAUCUAUGUUAUGUCAGUUGAAUCGAUUACAGACUACUUCCCUUAGUAAAGCACAAUCCCCGUACUCUUAGGUUCAGUUUUAAUCUUGUUCCUCUUACCCAAGUUUUUUUUUUUUUAAUCAAAAACAAUAAAGAAUUAACUGGAAGCCAAUCACUAGAAAAUAUGUUGAUUUGCUCCACAAAAUAUCAUGAAACAGGAAAUAAUUAUGCAGUUUUUGCUAAAAGGCAUUCCUCUAUUUCAAGGAAGAACCGUUUUCUUGUGAAUAAAAAAACAAAACUACUUUUGACUUAUAGGUCAGAAAAUCAAAUUUAUUGUAUUUCAACAGAAAGAAAAUAUGAAUAAUUUUUUCCUUAAUAUAUUCCAAAGUCC